This 449-nucleotide ribosomal RNA is filed under the name uncultured bacterium. RNAcentral describes it as "partial 16S ribosomal RNA". It matches the Rfam family "Bacterial small subunit ribosomal RNA", at positions 354 to 796 of the family's 1533-position model. The record is from RNAcentral.
GUCGAGAAUCAUUCACAAUGGGGGAAACCCUGAUGGUGUGACGCCGCGUGGAGGAUGAAGGUCUUCGGAUUGUAAACUCCUGUCAUGUGGGAGUAAAGCCGGGUGUUAAAUGCAUGCCGGUCUGAGAGUACCACAAGAGGAAGGGACGGCUAACUCUGUGCCAGCAGCCGCGGUAAUACAGAGGUCCCAAGCGUUGUUCGGAAUCACUGGGCGUAAAGGGUGCGUAGGCGGCGCGGAAAGUCAGGGGUGAAAUCCCGGAGCUCAACUCCGGAACUGCCUUUGAUACUCCCGCGCUUGAGAACUGGAGGGGAGACAGGAAUUCACGGUGGAGCAGUGAAAUGCGUGGAUAUCGUGAGGAACACUAGUGGCGAAGGCGGGUCUCUGGACAGUAUCUGACGCUGAGGCACGAAGGCCAGGGGAGCGAACGGGAUUAGAAACCCCGGUAGUCC